This 428-nucleotide ribosomal RNA is filed under the name uncultured bacterium. Its description in RNAcentral is "partial 16S ribosomal RNA". It matches the Rfam family "Bacterial small subunit ribosomal RNA", at positions 354 to 796 of the family's 1533-position model. The record is from RNAcentral.
GUGGGGAAUAUUGGGCAAUGGGCGCAAGCCUGACCCAGCAACGCCGCGUGAGGGAAGAAGGUCUUCGGAUUGUAAACCUCUGUCCUUGGGGACGAAAAAAAUGACGGUACCCAAGGAGGAAGCUCCGGCUAACUACGUGCCAGCAGCCGCGGUAAUACGUAGGGAGCGAGCGUUGUCCGGAAUUACUGGGCGUAAAGGGUGCGUAGGCGGCUAGGCAAGUCAGAUGUGAAAUCCCCGGGCUUAACUCGGGUGGUGCAUUUGAAACUGCUUGGCUUGAGUGCAGGAGAGGAAAGCGGAAUUCCUAGUGUAGCGGUGAAAUGCGUAGAUAUUAGGAGGAACACCAGUGGCGAAGGCGGCUUUCUGGACUGUAACUGACGCUGAGGCACGAAAGCGUGGGGAGCAAACAGGAUUAGAAACCCCGGUAGUCC